Long non-coding RNA from Oxyura jamaicensis (ruddy duck), 1892 nucleotides. RefSeq lists it as uncharacterized. The transcript is spliced from 3 exons. Lineage: Eukaryota; Metazoa; Chordata; Aves; Anseriformes; Anatidae. The record is from RefSeq and is a predicted model, not a curated record.
GCCGCCGCCCGUCGCCCCCCCGCUGUCCCCGCGGCGGGCGGAAGGAGGCUGCGGCCCCGCGGCGGGGGGGCUGCGGGAACGGGGCCCGGCGGAGCGGCGCCGGGGGAGCCGGAGUCGGGGGGGGGGGGCGGGAGGAGCGGCGCCGGGGGCGGCGGAGCGGGGAGCGGGGGCGGCCGGAGGCCGGGCGGGGCGGCUGCGAGGUGCGGCUUUAGCGCGCGGCUGAGCGAAAAGCCAGGAGCGAAAAUAAACCGGGAGAAGCCUCAAGGCUAAUCCCGCUGCCGGCGGCGUCUGCCCCGGAGGAAUAUCGUUCCGGUGAGGCCGGUCCCGUCGCUGCUGCGCUGCCGGGCAGUUAUUUUUAGCCGCGGCUGGAGGAGGCUCCUCAGGUAGCGAGCGGCUGCUGGGCAGCCCCGCGCCCCCCGCAGAAGGCCCCCGUGAUGCUGAGGGAGCUGGCACGGCACCCGCUGCAGGGUCAGGACAGGCUGACACCCAGGUGGCACCAGCGGCAGCCGCCCCAGCAGGGACUUGGACAGGAUCCUCGCUUGCUGCUUGUUUCGAAGGCUUGGGAGCGGGGCUUCAGUGUUACAUAAAUUCGGUGCUGCCCCUGCACGGGGGGAUUUGGCCAGGGGGAUGCGGGACACAGGACACGUGCACCCCGCCCACUUUGUCCCACAAAUUGUCAGGGGCACCGUGCCCACCACGGCCCUGCCCUCUCUCCUUAAUGGGUUUCCAGGCCGGUGCUGCCAGGUGCGUCCCCUGCUCAGCUCUGUAUUUCAAGGCACACUGUCUAAACCUUCAGAAUCGUGACAGAUCAAAGCAGGAGCCUUCGUGUAUUUUAUUAUGAUUUUGAUUUUUUUUUCCUCUCUCUGCUAUAACUAAGCCUUUUGUUCUCACCCGGGCAAGGGCUCAGGCAGGACAGCAAACUCUUUGGAGCUGGCACCAUCGGUUUCUUUUUAUCAGUAUGGCAAAUAGCACAGUCUCAUGCUAAAUAAAUAAUCAGAUCAUAAUUUUAAGUCCUACCUUUUCCCUUGAAAUUGAUACCAUGGUUAUGCUUUAUCUUUCUUCUCCAGUAUAACAGAUCAACUUCAAUUUUUACAAAAUAAUAAAACCCAAACCUCAGUUUCACCGAGGCUUUCAGGCUCAAGAAAUGGAAGGUCUGGAAAUGGAAAUUCUUCAAAGCAUGAGCAACUGCAAUGGAAAUUCUCAAACCCUCUUAAUAGGGCCUAAAAGAGAGGUGUUUCUCUCUUCAGGUGCAGUGUAUUGCAGCGCUUGUCUUACAGCUAUGUUAAACAUUUCUCCUUACUCAUUUAUGCCAUUAAUGUGUAUUUUCUCUGAUAAUCUGCAUCCCAACAGUAGCCAAGGUCAGAAGAAUCCUCAAAUGACAAAAAAAAAAAAAAAAAAAAAAAAGGUAAACUUAGCAGAAAAGCAGAAGUCACGUAAAACAAUGGUGAGUGUGACCUGAGAGUUAGAGACUGGGACAAAUUCAGCAGAACAUUGUGACAAGUCCCUGCAAGCUUGACACGAUGAUAAAUACAAUUUGUUCCUUGUUGUCCUCAUUGUUAUUAAUUUACAUGUUUUUUCAGGCUUACAUUGUACAUUGAUUAUUUUUUUUUUUUAAUGCAGAUGCAAAGAAAAACUUCAGCACAUUUUCAGAGGCUGGAUUUGAAGAAGACAACAAACCCCAAAUUAUUUCCAUCAAAUACUUCCAUAUUCAUAAAAGGACAAAGUAAAAGUUUCCAUCUGAAUGUAGCUCAUACCUGAGUUCCUCAAAUUGUUCCACAGGGCGUGUAAAGAUGUAACCCCCAUGGGGACUUCUCCCAGGCCAGGCAGGACCUGCACCAAAUGGGGUGAAUGCACCGACCAAGACAAGAAUUUCCCUAUCGCUGGGGCUGGGU